AGUGGCGAACGGGUGAGUAACACAUCGGAACGUACCCAGGAUGGGGGACAACCUCGAGAAAUCGAGGCUAAUACCGCAUACGUCCUGAGGGAGAAAGCGGGGGAUUCGCAAGGACCUGCGCUCAUGGAUCGGCCGAUGCCGGAUUAGCUAGUUGGUGGGGUAAUAGCCCACCAAGGCUACGAUCCGUAGCUGGUUUGAGAGAACGACCAGCCACACUGGGACUGAGACACGGCCCAG
Molecule: ribosomal RNA, 237 nt
Filed under: uncultured bacterium
Lineage: Bacteria
Description: partial 16S ribosomal RNA
Rfam family: Bacterial small subunit ribosomal RNA
Source: RNAcentral